GACGAACCGUGCGAACGUUGUUCGGAUUCACUGGGCUUAAAGGGCGCGUAGGCGGCUCGCCAAGUCAGGGGUGAAAUCUUUCGGCUCAACCGGAAAAGUGCUUCUGAUACUGGCGGGCUGGAGGAGGGUAGGGGCGGAUGGAACUUCCGGUGGAGCGGUGAAAUGCGUAGAUAUCGGAAGGAACGCCGGUGGCGAAAGCGAUCCGCUGGACCCUCCCUGACGCUGAGGCGCGAAAGCCAGGGGAGCAAACAGG
Molecule: ribosomal RNA, 253 nt
Filed under: uncultured bacterium
Lineage: Bacteria
Description: partial 16S ribosomal RNA
Rfam family: Bacterial small subunit ribosomal RNA
Source: RNAcentral